Molecule: small RNA, 762 nt
Filed under: Histoplasma ohiense
Lineage: Eukaryota; Fungi; Ascomycota; Eurotiomycetes; Onygenales; Ajellomycetaceae
Description: hypothetical lncRNA
Source: RNAcentral
AUCUUCUCUUUUAUUUCAAUAUGGCUCUCAAUACGGAGGUCGGUUUCAAAAGUUUCGUUCAAGCACUAAAAACGCCACAACUGCCACUAGGAAUUUAUACUAGGUUUUACAUGUAAAUUCCCUCUCAUUAUUUCUUCUGCUUUCAUCUACCUUCUCAAUAUUCAUUACCACCCUCAAGCUCAAUUAUCUUCUUAACAUGCACUGGAAUCUGUUCAAUCCAUGUGUGACGGGUUAGCACCUGUUAGUAAUUAACUUACACAACCAACUCCCCUCCUGCACCCGCUCAUUCCUGGCUGUUGUGACCUCGCAUAAUCCUCGAUGUUCUUCCACUCUGUGCUCCACACUCAUAUAGUUUCUAACAAUUCUUCUGCAUAGCUUUUAAUGUUCUUCUGCUCUGUGCUCUGUGCUUGUAUAGUCUCUAACAAUUCUUUCAUAUAGCUUCUAACAUUCUCUCACUCCAUGUUCCACACUUGUAUAGUCUCUAACAAUUCUUUCAUGUAGCUCUCAAUGAUUCCUUCAUCUCACACUCUGUGUUUGUGUAGUUUCUAAUGAUUCUUAUAUGUAUCUUUUAAUGUUCUUCUGCUCUGCACUUCACUGUGAAGUGGCUUCUGAUAUUCUUUCACUCUGAAUUUUUUUCUAUAAGAAUCUUUUUUAUAUAAUCUUUUGUUCUGAUUUCUUUUCUCUUUCUUUUCUUAAUCAAUUCAUAAUCUGUAUUAGAAUAGUGUUAGAUUGUUAAUUGAAGUAUAUCUAUUACAUUACAAA